RNAcentral lists this ribosomal RNA (905 nucleotides) under Ctenomyces serratus. RNAcentral's name for it is "LSU rRNA". It matches the Rfam family "Eukaryotic large subunit ribosomal RNA", at positions 37 to 964 of the family's 3401-position model. Lineage: Eukaryota; Fungi; Ascomycota; Eurotiomycetes; Onygenales; Arthrodermataceae. The record is from RNAcentral.
AGCAUAUCAAUAAGCGGAGGAAAAGAAACCAACAGGGAUUGCCCCAGUAACGGCGAGUGAAGCGGCAAAAGCUCAAAUUUGAAAUCUGGCCCUUUCAGGGUCCGAGUUGUAAUUUGCAGAGGAUGCUUCGGGUGCGGCCCCGGCCUAAGUUCCUUGGAACAGGACGUCAUAGAGGGUGAGAAUCCCGUCUUUGGUCGUCGGCCCGCGCCCGUGUGAAGCUCCUUCGAAGAGUCGAGUUGUUUGGGAAUGCAGCUCUAAGCGGGUGGUAAAUUUCAUCUAAAGCUAAAUAUUGGCCGGAGACCGAUAGCGCACAAGUAGAGUGAUCGAAAGGUUAAAAGCACCUUGAAAAGGGAGUUAAACAGCACGUGAAAUUGUUGAAAGGGAAGCGCUUGCGGCCAGACUCGGGUGCGGGGUUCAGCGGACGCGUGUCGUCCGUGCACUCCCCGUUUCCCGGGCCAGCAUCAGUUUCGACGGCCGGUCAAAGGCCUCUGGAAUGUGUCGUCUCUCGGGACGUCUUAUAGCCAGAGGUGCAAUGCGGCCUGUUGGGACUGAGGAACGCGCUUCGGCUCGGAUGCUGGCAUAAUGGCCGUAAGCGGCCCGUCUUGAAACACGGACCAAGGAGUCUAACAUCCACGCGAGUGUUCGGGUGUCAAACCCGUGCGCGCAGUGAAAGCGAACGGAGGUGGGAGCCUUAGGGCGCACCAUCGACCGAUCCUGAAGUCUUCGGAUGGAUUUGAGUAGGAGCGUGGCCGUUGGGACCCGAAAGAUGGUGAACUAUGCCUGAAUAGGGUGAAGCCAGAGGAAACUCUGGUGGAGGCUCGCAGCGGUUCUGACGUGCAAAUCGAUCGUCAAAUUUGGGCAUAGGGGCGAAAGACUAAUCGAACCAUCUAGUAGCUGUUCUGCGA